Molecule: ribosomal RNA, 1310 nt
Filed under: uncultured prokaryote
Description: partial 16S ribosomal RNA
Rfam family: Bacterial small subunit ribosomal RNA
Source: RNAcentral
GAGUUUGAUCCUGGCUCAGAUUGAACGCUGGCGGCAGGCCUAACACAUGCAAGUCGAACGGUAACAGGACGCUAGGAUCCCUUCGGGGUGACUUUGUCGCUGAAAAGCGGCGGACGGGUGAGUAACGCGUAGGAAUCUACCUGGUAGUGGGGGACAACGUAUGGAAACGUACGCUAAUACCGCAUACGCCCUACGGGGGAAAGCGGGGGACCUUCGGGCCUCGUGCUAUCAGAUGAGCCUGCGUUAGAUUAGCUAGUUGGUAGGGUAAAGGCCUACCAAGGCGACGAUCUAUAGCUGGUCUGAGAGGAUGAUCAGCCACACUGGAACUGAGACACGGUCCAGACUCCUACGGGAGGCAGCAGUGGGGAAUAUUGCGCAAUGGGGGAAACCCUGACGCAGCCAUGCCGCGUGUGUGAAGAAGGCCUUAGGGUUGUAAAGCACUUUCAAUUGGGAGGAAAGGUUGUACAUUAAUAGUGUGCAACCGUGACGUUACUCGCAGAAGAAGCACCGGCUAAUUCAGUGCCAGCAGCCGCGGUAAUACUGAAGGUGCAAGCGUUAAUCGGAAUUACUGGGCGUAAAGCGCGCGUAGGCGGCUUGGUCAGUCAGAUGUGAAAGCCCCGGGCGCAGCUAACGCGAUAAGUUGACCACCUGGGGAGUACGGCCGCAAGGUUAAAACUCAAAUGAAUUGACGGGGGCCCGCACAAGCGGUGGAGCAUGUGGUUUAAUUCGAUGCAACGCGAAGAACCUUACCUGGUCUUGACAUCCUACAAACUUACUAGAGAUAGUUUGGUGCCUUCGGGAACGUAGUGACAGGUGCUGCAUGGCUGUCGUCAGCUCGUGUUGUGAAAUGUUGGGUUAAGUCCCGUAACGAGCGCAACCCUUAUCCUUAUUUGCCAGCAUAAUGGUGGGGACUCAUGGGAGACUGCCGGGGACAACUCGGAGGAAGGCGAGGACGAUGUCAAGUCAUCAUGCCCCUUAUAUCCAGGGCUGCACGCAUGCUACAAUGGGCGGUACAGUGGGCCGCGAUCUCGCAAGAGUGAGCCAAUCCCUCAAAGCCGUCCCCAGUUCGGAUUGAAGUCUGCAACUCGACUUCAUGAAGCCGGAGUCGCUAGUAAUCGUGGAUCAGCUAUGCCACGGUGAAUACGUUCUCGGGGCUUGUACACACCGCCCGUCACAUCACGGAAGUCGGUAACACCCGAAGUCAGUGGCCUAACCCCUCGGGGAAGGAGCUGCCUAAGGUGGGAUUGGUAACUGGGAUGAAGUCGUAACAAGGUAGCCGUACGGGAACGUGCGGCUGGAUCACCUCCUUU